GCCCUUCAGCAGCCGCGGUAAUACGUAGGGGGCAAGCGUUGUCCGGAAUUAUUGGGCGUAAAGCGCGCGCAGGCGGUCAUGUAAGUCUGGUGUUUAAUCCCGGGGCUCAACCCCGGAUCGCACUGGAAACUGCGUGACUUGAGUGCAGAAGAGGAGAGUGGAAUUCCACGUGUAGCGGUGAAAUGCGUAGAGAUGUGGAGGAACACCAGUGGCGAAGGCGACUCUCUGGGCUGUAACUGACGCUGAGGCGCGAAAGCGUGGGGAGCAAACAGGAUUAGAUACCCUGGUAGUCCACGCCGUAAACGAUGAGUGCUAGGUGUUAGGGGUUUCGAUACCCUUGGUGCCGAAGUUAACACAUUAAGCACUCCGCCUGGGGAGUACGGUCGCAAGACUGAAACUCAAAGGAAUUGACGGAAGGGC
This 420-nucleotide ribosomal RNA is filed under the name uncultured bacterium. Its description in RNAcentral is "bacterial SSU rRNA". It matches the Rfam family "Bacterial small subunit ribosomal RNA", at positions 503 to 922 of the family's 1533-position model. The record is from RNAcentral.